CUUGCAGUCGACGAACUCUGGUAUUGAUUGGUGCUUGCAUCAUGAUUUACAUUUGAGUGAGUGGCGAACUGGUGAGUAACACGUGGGAAACCUGCCCAGAAGCGGGGGAUAACACCUGGAAACAGAUGCUAAUACCGCAUAACAACUUGGACCGCAUGGUCCGAGCUUGAAAGAUGGCUUCGGCUAUCACUUUUGGAUGGUCCCGCGGCGUAUUAGCUAGAUGGUGGGGUAACGGCUCACCAUGGCAAUGAUACGUAGCCGACCUGAGAGGGUAAUCGGCCACAUUGGGACUGAGACACGGCCCAAACUCCUACGGGAGGCAGCAGUAGGGAAUCUUCCACAAUGGACGAAAGUCUGAUGGAGCAACGCCGCGUGAGUGAAGAAGGGUUUCGGCUCGUAAAACUCUGUUGUUAAAGAAGAACAUAUCUGAGAGUAACUGUUCAGGUAUUGACGGUAUUUAACCAGAAAGCCACGGCUAACUACGUGCCAGCAGCCGCGGUAAUACGUAGGUGGCAAGCGUUGUCCGGAUUUAUUGGGCGUAAAGCGAGCGCAGGCGGUUUUUUAAGUCUGAUGUGAAAGCCUUCGGCUCAACCGAAGAAGUGCAUCGGAAACUGGGAAACUUGAGUGCAGAAGAGGACAGUGGAACUCCAUGUGUAGCGGUGAAAUGCGUAGAUAUAUGGAAGAACACCAGUGGCGAAGGCGGCUGUCUGGUCUGUAACUGACGCUGAGGCUCGAAAGUAUGGGUAGCAAACAGGAUUAGAUACCCUGGUAGUCCAUACCGUAAACGAUGAAUGCUAAGUGUUGGAGGGUUUCCGCCCUUCAGUGCUGCAGCUAACGCAUUAAGCAUUCCGCCUGGGGAGUACGGCCGCAAGGCUGAAACUCAAAGGAAUUGACGGGGGCCCGCACAAGCGGUGGAGCAUGUGGUUUAAUUCGAAGCUACGCGAAGAACCUUACCAGGUCUUGACAUACUAUGCAAAUCUAAGAGAUUAGACGUUCCCUUCGGGGACAUGGAUACAGGUGGUGCAUGGUUGUCGUCAGCUCGUGUCGUGAGAUGUUGGGUUAAGUCCCGCAACGAGCGCAACCCUUAUUAUCAGUUGCCAGCAUUAAGUUGGGCACUCUGGUGAGACUGCCGGUGACAAACCGGAGGAAGGUGGGGAUGACGUCAAAUCAUCAUGCCCCUUAUGACCUGGGCUACACACGUGCUACAAUGGAUGGUACAACGAGUUGCGAACUCGCGAGAGUAAGCUAAUCUCUUAAAGCCAUUCUCAGUUCGGAUUGUAGGCUGCAACUCGCCUACAUGAAGUCGGAAUCGCUAGUAAUCGCGGAUCAGCAUGCCGCGGUGAAUACGUUCCCGGGCCUUGUACACACCGCCCGUCACACCAUGAGAGUUUGUAACACCCAAAGUCGGUGGGGUAACCUUUUAGGAACCAGCCGCC
This 1436-nucleotide ribosomal RNA is filed under the name Lactiplantibacillus plantarum. RNAcentral describes it as "bacterial SSU rRNA". It matches the Rfam family "Bacterial small subunit ribosomal RNA". Lineage: Bacteria; Bacillati; Bacillota; Bacilli; Lactobacillales; Lactobacillaceae. The record is from RNAcentral.